CGAUUACGGGAGGCAGCAGUGAGGAAUAUUGGUCAAUGGACGUAAGUCUGAACCAGCCAAGUAGCGCGCAGGAUGACGGCCCUAUGGGUUGUAAACUGCUUUUGUAUGGGGAUAAAGUCAAUCACGUGUGAUUGUUUGCAGGUACCAUACGAAUAAGGACCGGCUAAUUCCGUGCCAGCAGCCGCGGUAAUAUCG
RNAcentral lists this ribosomal RNA (195 nucleotides) under uncultured bacterium. RNAcentral describes it as "partial 16S ribosomal RNA". It matches the Rfam family "Bacterial small subunit ribosomal RNA", at positions 335 to 527 of the family's 1533-position model. The record is from RNAcentral.